CUGCAGCAGUUUGUAGCAUCCAGAUUGUUUAGCGCGUGGUCGGAACGGGUGCGUAACACGUGGAUAACCUUCCUUCAGGUAGGGGAAUAACCCAUGUGAAUAAUUGGUGCUAAUACCGCAUAACACUGACGAUGCCACAUGGUUGUUCGUCUUCCAAAGGCGCAAGUCGCCCAGCAAGAGGGCAUCCGCGGCCGAUUAGCUAGCUUGGCGAGGUAAUGGCUCACCAAGGGCAAUGACUCGGUAGCCGGACUUGAGUAGGUUGGCCGGCCACACUGGAACUGAGACACGGUCCAAGACUCCAUAACGGGAGAGCAGCAAGUGGGGAAUCUUGCACUAAUGGACGAAAGUCUGAUGCAGCAAUCGCCGCGUGGGGGAUGGAGCU
This 382-nucleotide ribosomal RNA is filed under the name uncultured bacterium. RNAcentral describes it as "bacterial SSU rRNA". It matches the Rfam family "Bacterial small subunit ribosomal RNA", at positions 66 to 415 of the family's 1533-position model. The record is from RNAcentral.